GUGGUGGUGGGGGUGCACUUUGACAGAUUACCAGGACAGGGACUGUUUACAUUUAACAAUAACAGCUCCAUGGCUGAACUCAUAGCAGCCCUGUGUUCCCUGAGCUCCUGCAGUCCGCUCAGACUUCGGCGCUCCUGUCGGCUCGGUCGUUUUGCCGGAGGAGCCGUGACUCAUCGUCUCGGUCACCAAGGAGCGACUAAACAUUGUCCAGCUGGCAAUCGUGACGUUUCAACAUUCGCUCACGCUUGCGGUGAAUGAACUAAGCGAAGAAGUGGAUAUCAGAUGCAUAUUUUUUUUGGAUUUACAUCAACCUCUUAAUGAAGCGUGUCACGAUGAUCUCCAAAGCGGCGGAUAUUUUCACCCGGCCCGCAGUUGGAUCUCGAUUUAACUCUGACCUUAACCCAAAGGGGAACCGCAUCAUCCCCUUGGGGAUUUUUGAUGAUGCCCCCUUAUAUUUAUGCCAUUCUCCUUUAACUGGGGUGCCUAUUUGUGCCAGUUCUGAGGUCAUAACCUAAACUACUACUGCUUCAACCAUCAGGUUGUCUGGUGUCUCUGCUCCCCUCACCCUGUAAACCCAGCUGACCCAAAUGAAAAUAUAAAUAACGGUGACUUUCUCCACACCGGGUGGUAAUCAUGCCUAAAUAGCAACAAUUUCUAGGACAGUGGGAUGGACAUCUGAUGCAUGGCUGUGCAGAAGCCAGGACAUUUUAGGUCUGAAUGCUUUCUCCCACAGGAGGCUGAGGCUUUAUCCUCCAUUUGCAGCUGUCUUCAGGCAUUCAAAGAGAACUGCUCUGGUUCAGUACAGCAAUGCAUCAGAACUGUCAGUGUAUGAAAGAAAGAUCUAGCCUAUCGCUGCGAGUUUUAAUGGAGGUUUGCAUCCAUGUUUUGUUGCAUCUUCAGUUCAGACACACAUGGAAACAUUACUCACACUAACCCUUCAGCUUCUUCCCAUAUUACUCCACACAAGCUGCUGCAGCUGUCAGAAAUGUAAAACGCUUCCCUUCCUGUGUGACAGAGGAUGAAUGUUGCCAGAGAAAAGUUUGCCCAUAAACCAGGUGGGUAGAAUAGCUAAUUUGUUGCCUUUCCUGAGCAGUUUUGAUGAACAGAUGUUCUUUUUUUUUUUUGGUUCUCUGCUCCUUGCUAGAACGUCAUGUCUCAUGUCCCAGUCCUCAUUCAUCCGAUUGGAAACCGAUCGAACCAGUGAAACUAGUGGAGCUGCUAGUUCACUGGAAGCAGCCCUGUGACUCCACCCUCCGCUACGCCUGGACUCUCAGCACAUGUCCUCUAAAAUUUCCCAUUACUUGUAAAACCAGAAAAUCAGAGAAGCCUGCCUCUCAAAUAGUCUGUUGUG
Molecule: long non-coding RNA, 1351 nt
Organism: Fundulus heteroclitus (mummichog)
Lineage: Eukaryota; Metazoa; Chordata; Actinopteri; Cyprinodontiformes; Fundulidae
Exons: 3
Source: RefSeq, a predicted model, not a curated record